This 595-nucleotide transfer RNA is filed under the name Streptococcus equi subsp. equi. The stretch from base 219 to 291 matches the Rfam family "tRNA". The record is from RNAcentral. Lineage: Bacteria; Bacillati; Bacillota; Bacilli; Lactobacillales; Streptococcaceae.
AAGGAAAAAGGAAGCACGUUUAGCGUCUUAUUUAGUUUUGAGAGGUCUUGAAAUAAGUCAUGAGAACGUUAAGAAACCCGUAUGACAAUAGGGAACUGACGCAGAGUCGUAGGACUCAAGGAAGUGAUUCUUUUUCACUAGGGUUUUAGUUCGAAUACAGUUGGCUUCAUACAGACCAUUGAUAAGAGUAUACAUAUACAAGUACAUUUAUAGUGUACGGGGCCUUAGCUCAGCUGGGAGAGCGCCUGCUUUGCACGCAGGAGGUCAGCGGUUCGAUCCCGCUAGGCUCCAUUAUCUAGGAUACAAAGAGAAGUUUGGGUUACCUAAUUUUCUGUAUUCUAAGAUAUAUAAGAUAUAGUUCAAGUAAUUGAACACGACCUCAUUUUUUAGGAAAAAAGAUAAAUCUCCUCGUGUGUAAAGCACACAUCGUCGAUUUCCUAUUUUUCUACAAAAAUGCCCAACAAGUUGGGACGGUCUUAGUAUCUUAAUCUUGUCCAUUGAAAAUUGAAUAACUAUAUCAUAUUCCGCAAUCAAAAAAGAUUGUAAGAAAGUACAAGAAAUAACGAAACGCUGUGAUAACGAGUUAACAAAUAAA